Albula goreensis is the source of this 72-nucleotide non-coding RNA. The record is from the annotation of a GenBank genome assembly. NCBI's taxonomy places the organism in Eukaryota, Metazoa, Chordata, Actinopteri, Albuliformes, Albulidae.
UACCUCGUGGCGCAACGGUAGCGUGUCUGACUCUAGAUCGGAAAGGUACAUGUUCAAAUCAUGUCGGGUUCA